This 342-nucleotide ribosomal RNA is filed under the name Triticum aestivum (bread wheat). Its description in RNAcentral is "partial small subunit ribosomal RNA". The record is from RNAcentral. Lineage: Eukaryota; Viridiplantae; Streptophyta; Magnoliopsida; Poales; Poaceae.
AUGCGCGAGCCCGUCUACCGUGGCGUGCGCGCCUGCCCGCGUCCCGGCCGCGGCUGUCCAGCGCGUUCGUGCCCUCGACGUGUUCGAGGAAAUGCCCCACCGGAGAAUCUGCGCCGGGUCCACGCGCGGGUGGUGGCCCUAGCAAGCGCAGCCAUCAACGUCGGCGAUCUCCAUCCCAGCGUCCCGUCGAGUGGUGGAGGAUCGAUGUCGUGGGCUCAUCCUGCCGCGGGGCUCCCCUGGCCCUGGGCCCUGGCGGCUCACCCUCGCUGGUCUGCAGCACGCGGUCAGUCAUACAAUAAAAGUGCGACUGUGGAGCCAAGACUUGAUCAAGGACUUCCAUAG